This 71-nucleotide microRNA precursor is filed under the name Paramuricea clavata. The record is from RNAcentral. Lineage: Eukaryota; Metazoa; Cnidaria; Anthozoa; Malacalcyonacea; Plexauridae.
AUCAUAUUACGUGCGGAAAUUGUUACCAUUUUCGGCUCAAAAAUGGUAACAAUUUCCGCACGUAAUACAAA